GCAAGUCAGGGGUUUCGGCCCCGGCGCUCGGUUGAGUACCGCGUAGAUAAUCUGCCUAUCUCUCUGUGAUAACAACGGGCAACUGUAAUAAGCACAGAUGAGGACUUCGGUUCAAAUGCAAAGGAUAUAGAUGAGUCUGCGUAUGAUUAGAUAGUUGGUAGGGUAAUGGCCUACCAAGUCAACGAUCAUUAGCGGGUUUGAGAGGACGAUC
RNAcentral lists this ribosomal RNA (211 nucleotides) under uncultured bacterium. RNAcentral describes it as "partial 16S ribosomal RNA". It matches the Rfam family "Bacterial small subunit ribosomal RNA", at positions 57 to 305 of the family's 1533-position model. The record is from RNAcentral.